RNAcentral lists this ribosomal RNA (206 nucleotides) under uncultured bacterium. Its description in RNAcentral is "partial 16S ribosomal RNA". It matches the Rfam family "Bacterial small subunit ribosomal RNA", at positions 524 to 728 of the family's 1533-position model. The record is from RNAcentral.
UACGGGGGGGGCUAGCGUUGUUCGGAAUUACUGGGCGUAAAGGGCGCGUAGGCGGCCUACUAAGUCGGACGUGAAAUCCCUCGGCCUCAACCGGGGAACUGCGUCCGAUACUGGUGGGCUUGAAUCCGGGAGAGGGAUGUGGAAUUCCAGGUGUAGCGGUGAAAUGCGUAGAUAUCUGGAGGAACACCGGUGGCGAAGGCGGCGAU